ACUCCUACGGGAGGCAGCAGUAGGGAAUCUUCCACAAUGGGCGCAAGCCUGAUGGAGCAACACCGCGUGAGUGAAGAAGGGUUUCGGCUCGUAAAGCUCUGUUGUUAAAGAAGAACACGUAUGAGAGUAACUGUUCAUACGUUGACGGUAUUUAACCAGAAAGUCACGGCUAACUACGUGCCAGCAGCCGCGGUAAUACGUAGGCGGCAAGCGUUAUCCGGAUUUAUUGGGCGUAAAGAGAGUGCAGGCGGUUUUCUAAGUCUGAUGUGAAAAGCCUUCGGCUUAACCGGAGAAGUGCAUCGAAAACUGGAUAACUUGAGUGCAGAAGAGGGUAGUGGAACUCCAUGUGUAGCGGUGGAAUGCGUAGAUAUAUGGAAGAACACCAGUGGCGAAGGCGGCUACCUGGUCUGCAACUGACGCUGAGACUCGAAAGCAUGGGUAGCGAACAGGAUUAGAUACCCUGGUAGGAUAGCG
This 474-nucleotide ribosomal RNA is filed under the name uncultured bacterium. RNAcentral describes it as "bacterial SSU rRNA". It matches the Rfam family "Bacterial small subunit ribosomal RNA", at positions 335 to 801 of the family's 1533-position model. The record is from RNAcentral.